This 1583-nucleotide long non-coding RNA is filed under the name Gallus gallus (chicken). Its description in RNAcentral is "lncRNA (ENSGALG00010011678.1)". Lineage: Eukaryota; Metazoa; Chordata; Aves; Galliformes; Phasianidae. The record is from RNAcentral.
CAGCAGCUUAUCUCUCUCUUGUUGCCCCUGGCCUUGUCCAUCUGUCAUCCAGACAGAAGAUUUCCCUACCUUUGCCCAGGACUUGCCUGGACUUGUUCCUCAGCAAACUUUGAGUCAGUGAUACAAAAGAAUAAUCUCUUACAACGAUAACUUGUGUUUCCUGACUGUACAUUCUCUUUGUAAUUGUACAAUUAACACGUAUCACCCCUGCAUACCUGACAUUCAGUAAUCACUACAAGGAAACAUACGUGACCUCAAGUAGACCAUAGCUUGAGGAAAAAGAAACUAUCAACAUGAACGUCAUAUUCUUCCAAGCAGAGGACUUCAGAACUUCAGAUGCUGAUGAAUUAUUGUGACAGCAGAAUGAAGACACCAGCCUCAGGAUCUAGAAGAGCAGGAGAAGCAUGGAGAUAACAAAAGGAGAAGAGACAAAAAAAUGUAUGUAUUAGUUAUCAUGCUAUUGCUGAAAUUUUUUUUUUUCUACAUAAACAUUUUCUCUUUCUCUAAUAAUUAGAUAUGCAUUAUUAAUGAUUUUUUAUUAGGUCUUAAAACUUCAAUUAUAAUAACAAUAAAGUUUUGGCUUUGCAUGUGAGGGUGCUGGCUCACCCUUAACUUCUAAGCAAGAUUUUGAGAAGAACAUACUGUAAAUUCCUACUUCAAAAAGUAUAGUCUAGGACUAUUUCUUGUUAUCCAAAAGACUGGUAUCUCUCAAGAGAGGCUGGAGCAGGUUACUUUGCUUCUGCUGUUGUCACCUGUCCUUGAGCAUUAUUUUUGGAGAUAGAAAUACAUUUCUUCUGCUCUCUUGUCAGCUAUGUCAGAUUUUUCUUGCUUGGCUGUGUCUUUUUGUGAUUUUUUUCAUCAUUUUCUUGUGAUCAUACUGCUUACAGAAAUAUUUUCCUGUACUGUAGCUUUUAUUUGACAUAUUAUUCAAUAAUAGAACCGUAUUCUUGAGUUGGUAAUGAGUAUUUUUGUUUUAUUUAAUAUUUUGCUAUAUAUUUUAUAUAGAUAUUUGUAUUUUCUUCAUCUUUUUUUUUUUAACUUUAGAAGAUGAGAAUCAAGACUAAUUGUUAAGUUUUCAUCAGAGAUGCUUAUAUUAGCAGAAUUUGCUGCUGUUGCUAUUUUGGUAAAGCCAAGUCACAGAGACCUCCAAGGGGUGCUAAAUGUAUCAUUGGAACUAUAGAAAAAAUAUUCCAUAAUUAAAACAUUAUAACAGAAGCUACUGUGCCAACACUUGAGGCAGUAUAUCAACUCAUUAAAAAAACGAGGUCUAAAUGCAAAAAAAUCUACAGCUUAGUUUCUUCAUUGAAUUUGUAUAAGAUUUGGGAAAAAAAAAGAUUCUUACUGGUUAUUGAGUUUAGUGAAUCAUAAAAUUCAUAUUUGUCUUUUUAAAGUUCGUAUUUGUUUUUUAAAAUUAUUAUUUCUGCAACAUUUUACAAUUUUAAAUUUAAAUAGAAUUUUCAGGAAGAUUUGAACACAGAAUGAAUUGGAAUGAUUUGGAAAUCAUCACUUUGUUAUGGAGGAAGCUGUUGUAAAUAGGCAUGUGUUACUAUAAUUUUUUCAUUCAUCAAUAAAUAUGUGAAACC